Molecule: long non-coding RNA, 1339 nt
Filed under: Oryctolagus cuniculus (rabbit)
Lineage: Eukaryota; Metazoa; Chordata; Mammalia; Lagomorpha; Leporidae
Description: lncRNA (ENSOCUG00000037652.1)
Source: RNAcentral
AUGAAUUUCCAACCACGGAGUCUGCGGUGCGAUUGGAUCCGGCUCCUCGUGAGGUCAGAACUGCAGACCUGGGUUGAACUGAACGGACAGGAAGUGGAAACCUCUGGAUUCUUCAGCACGUUGUUGAUCACUCUGGAAAAGACUGGAAAGUUCUUCCCUGCUUGCAAUCCUGCCAUGCAUGGCCUGAAGACGGUGGAGCUGACCUCCAAGCAAAGGCAGAUAGCAACAAGAGCUGAGAUGACGGAAGAGGUUAAUUUCCCCAUACAGAACAAUCCCCCCUCACACACACGACUGUUUUUUUUUUCUUUUUCUUUUUUUGCACAGGCAGCCAUUCAAUAAAUAAUUAAUGCUUGUUAAUCUUUUAGCUAUUUCUCCCGUUGUAAAAAAUUAAUUGGUCUUCCAUCAUCUCUUGCAUUGUAACCUGGAGGUGGUUGGCACGGGUCCACCUCCCUGCCACAGCACGCCCCUGCGGAGGCUCGGGGGGCGUGGCAGGGAUCCUCGGCAGUCAUGCCCAACCUCCAGGUUCCGGGCAUGAAUGGGAGUGCACAGCUGCGUAGCCGGCGCUCCAGGGAGCUGCACACGCACACUGCCUCUUUCUUCUGCGGCACUCGGGGACCUGCACACACUCAUUCUCACAACCCCCAUUUGGCAGGAGUAGUCGAACGCGAUGCAUGCUGGAGUCAGGGGCAGGGGGACAGCCCCCUCUUCCUCCCUGUCCCCGACUAGGGACAUAAAGUGUCCAAGGACCUCUUUCUGGCUUUUGCCACUGAACAGUGCCUCAGUUUACCUGAGGAGGACUAUCAGAUCUACAGGAAGCAAGGGGGGGAGGAUGGGGGGCGGGGGGCAGGCUCCUCAGAUGUCUUGAUUCCUCCAGCCUCAACUACUAGGAUUUUUCCCUCUUGUGAAUUACAAGUGAGUCAUACUGCCUUCUCCAGGAAGUCCUCCUAGAUUAAAGCAGCCAUCCCUGUGUCUGACUUACUCUUGCUCCUUAGUGCCCUCUGGUGGCUCUUCUGUUGUUCUGUUGAUGCCUAGUUUGUCUCCUUAGUGUCCAGAGUUUAAGCCCCAACACAUCAGUAAUCGCAUUUGUCUGUCGCUCCCCCUCUUCGCGGAGGAACGACACAGGACCCUGCGCUGUUCUUUCAUCUGCUCGGCCUCCCCGGGUUUGCUGCUGGUUCUUCCCGGAUUGGCUACCGACCCUCCCACCUCCGUGGAAGGGCGGUUCCCCCUGCCACAUUCCCCACUUCCGCGGGGGAGCGGCACACCGCCGGCCGGCUCUCUCGGGGGCUGCUCAGGUGUUCCUUCAGAUAGAUGUUCCUGGUGCAUGUUGUCUCUCUCCUCC